GCAAGGGUCCCUGGUUCGAGCCCAGGUUGGGGCGAAGAGAGGGACGGAACCUACACUGUUACACAAGCAUAGCAGCAAAGGCUGGACAAAUAUUAUUGAUCUCUUACUUUGUUAUAAUAUGUAAACGUUCUAUAUACAGCAAGCUAACAACACGGAGCCUAACGUUAGCUUGCUAGGUGCUGGCAGGAUGUCAUGUCAUUGGAGGAGUUGGUGAGUGACAGACAUUUCCACUCAUAUGGUUGUUCGUUGCCUACAGCGAGAUAUGCAGGUGUCAUUUGGUUAACGUUAGCUAGCAAGAAAUGUGAAUCGCUAUGGCAUGCGUUGGCAGGCAAACUGCAAAACGAUGAGCUCUAGCUGGCAUUAAUUGUUGAUCUUGUUGUUCUUGACUUGUCCAUAGGCAACUGAGGGAGAGAGAGCCUACCUUUUCAUGGUUGUUUGAUCAAUAGGACUGUGAAUUUCCCAAAUACUCCGUGACAUGAUGACCUCUUCCUAAAUAUUUGGUCAAAUUAUUAAUUGUGUAUGGUUUCCUAGAAACAAGGGUGGCUCAAUUUACCCCUAUGGCUCAACUUACUCCACUCUCCCCUAAACAAUUUGUUUAGUACUGUAGGUCUAGUGAGUUCUAAAUGGAAAAAGAGAAUCCAGUUCCAUCUAGUGGUAGUAUAAGUAAAAUCACUAGUUUCUGUUACAGUAACACUGUAAAAGCAUUGGUUACUAAAUGAGACAAAAUCAUUAUUGUUACCAUCAACAUGUCUUUCAUUACAGUAUAAUACAGCCAACACUGUGACUGCACAACAAACAGUUUUACCAACAAUAAAACAGAUCCUGUUCAGAAUGAUCUUGUUUGCACAGUAAACUGGCAAAAUUGAGGACAAUAUCUAUAUUUUCUUAAUUUGUUUAAUUGCACAAACAUAGGAUAUGACAAUCAUAGAGUUGAAAGAAAUACAUGUGCAGGAGAAGGAGAAGUAAGAAACCCAAUAUGGCGUGGAAACUGGUGUCUGAGCGUUUCCCCUCCCUGGAUGGUUUGUUUGCUGGUCUCUCUAUAGGCUGGUUUGUUUAACCUCACUGGCCUCUCCAGCUUCCAUUCCUACAGCUGUGUUCUCAUACCAACCACCAUCUUCCUCUCUGCAUGACAAAAACAUGGGCUUUACAAUGAGCGUGUGUAGUUUGAUAACCUACUGUCUAGGACUGCAGCAGUUGAACAUUUCAUAAGAAAAUACACUUGUUUGUGAGAUCCUGAUAAGUCAGUUAAGGACAACGGGAAGUCACAAUAUUAAAGUAUGAAAAGAUUAUGUCAGUGAAGAGUCAGGCAGUGGUGGAAAAGUACCCAAUUGUCAUACUUGAGUAAAAGAAAAUGCCUCAAGUGAAAGUCACCCAGUAAAAUUCUACUUGAGUAAAAGUCUAAAUGUAUUUGGUUUUAAAUAUAGUUAAGUAUCAAAAGUAAAUGUAAUUGCUCAAAUUUACAUAAGUAUAAAAAGUAAAAGUAUAAAUCAUUUCAAAUUGCUUAUAUUAAGCAAACCAAACACCAUAUUACUUGUUUUUUAUUUUAUUUACGGAGAACCAGGGGCAGCUCCAACACUCAGACAUAUUUACAAACAAAGCAUUUAUGUUUAGUGAGUCUGAGGCAUUAGGAAUGACCAGGGGUGUUCUCUUGAUAAGUGUGUGAAUUUGACCAUUUUCCUGUCCUGCUAAGCAUUCAAAAUGUAACGAUUACUUUUGGGUGUCAGGGAAAAUGUAUGGAUUAAAAAGUAAAUUAUUUUAUUCAGGAAUGUAGUAAAAUAAAUGUAGAAGUUGACAAAUAUAAAUAGUAAAGUACAGAUACCCAAAAAACAACCUAAGUAGUACUUUAAAGUAUUUUUACUAAAGUACUUUAAACCACUGGAGUCAGGUUGCUGUUACACAAGGCACCUCUGGUCAUCUCUGUGGACUUGUUGUUGUAGUC
This 1939-nucleotide long non-coding RNA is filed under the name Salmo salar (Atlantic salmon). RNAcentral describes it as "lncRNA (ENSSSAG00000109019.1)". The record is from RNAcentral. Lineage: Eukaryota; Metazoa; Chordata; Actinopteri; Salmoniformes; Salmonidae.